CACGUAGGGGGCAAGCGUUGUCCGGAAUCAUUGGGCGUAAAGAGCUCGUAGGCGGCUCAGUAAGUCGGGUGUGAAAGCCCUCAGCUCAACUGAGGAAGUGCGCCCGAAACUGCAGAGCUUGAGUGCCGGAGAGGGUGGCGGAAUUCCCCAAGUAGAGGUGAAAUUCGUAGAUAUGGGGAGGAACACCGGUGGCGAAGGCGGCCACCUGGACGGUAACUGACGCUGAGGCGCGAAAGCGUGGGGAGCAAACAGG
RNAcentral lists this ribosomal RNA (253 nucleotides) under uncultured bacterium. Its description in RNAcentral is "partial 16S ribosomal RNA". It matches the Rfam family "Bacterial small subunit ribosomal RNA", at positions 524 to 776 of the family's 1533-position model. The record is from RNAcentral.